GAGGGAGCCUGAGAAACGGUUACCACAUCCAAGGAAGGCAGCAGGCGCGCAAAUUACCCAAUCCUGACACGGGGAGGUAGUGACAAUAAAUAACAAUACCGGGCUCUUUGAGUCUGGUAAUUGGAAUGAGUACAAUCUAAAUCCCUUAACGAGGAUCCAUUGGAGGGCAAGUCUUGUCAUGUCCCCGUUCCUGGAACUUGAAAUGGGACAUAGAUGUUUCAACAGAAAUGAGACUGCUUUGGUUCAGAUCAUGGGAAUUGAUCGUGAACAAGCAGUGAUCAGGAUGGAUCAUGAGGAAACUAAGUCUAGGUCUGGAAAUACACCAAGGGACUUAGUAGGAUUGAAUUAGAGGAAGAGAACAAGCUGGACGAGUGAUGAGACAGCUGGAAGAUGCGAGAAUGAAGCUCGGUCAGCUGGGCGAAGCUCAGACAAGCUAAGUGUAGCUCACUGAAGUGUAGGUCAGCUCCAGCAGCUGGACUACUAGCUCAGUCAGCUGGGACAGCUGGGGAUCAGCUCAACUCAGCUAUAUGGAGUGUUGGAAGCUCAGACCAGUGUCUCAGUUCUGGGCAGCUCGGACAGCUGGGGAUCAGCUUAACUCAGCUCAACUCAGCUAGAUGGAGUGUUGGAAGCUCAGGCCAAGGAUGGCUAUGGGCCUGUGGGUUCUUGUGGUCAGGCCAUGGGCAUGGGCAAUCCGUGUGGCCUUGCUUUGGACAUUUCCAGGAGUGGUUUUACAGUUCCAGGGAGUCUGGUAACUGCCAAAGGCGAAAGGGUGCAAUCUGUACCAUUGAUUAAAUCAAUGGACAAAAAUGAAACCGAAGGGAUGCAAUGGUUAGAAACGUAACCACUCCUUCUCCUAUAUAAAGAGAGCAAGUCCGUGCCUUUGCAGGCACACCAGGGCUUCCUCCUACAUCCUGUAACACAAAGAAAACCAGAGAAAAACAGAGAGAUGGUCGGAUUCAAGAAUCCAAUACCAAGAGGCAUUCAAAGGCAUCAAAGAGGCAGUUUUGGAGGGCAAUCAAGAGGAGAGGUAUGAACGCCCCUCUGGUGAGUUUUGAUUAUUGUUUGCCACGCCAGGGCUUCCUCUACAUUCAUACAUCACACGAAAAUAGCCUGGAGAGAAGAUAGGAGGCCGGAACCCACUUCCAAUGGUUGAGGCAGCCUUGAAGGCAGAUAUGUGUAGAAAGGCAGUUCCAUGGCCAUUGAAGGGGGAAGUGAUGCAUGACCCUGUGAUGGUGUAUGAUCAUGGAUGAUCACGUCCUAGGCUUCUUCUACAGCCUGGGGACACACGCAAAUGGUUAGGGGAGAAGGGAGGAAGCCGGACUCCACUCUUAGAGGCCAAGAUAGCCUUGAUGGUUGAUGCAGUGUAGAAAGUAGUUUCAUGGGAGUUCCAUGGAAGGGAUGAUGGGUGCGACCCUUGAAUGGAUCUUAUCAAUACUGGAAGUAUGUGAUAAGGAUUGACAGAGGCGUGCACUGGAGGAGCAUGGCCUAACACAAUAAGAGGAGGUACAUGAUCUAAUCAGAUCAUGUAUAAGGUAACCGAUUUGAUAAUUACUUUCAAGUUAUGGUUCUGUCUCUUGUGGUGCGGUUAGGGCCAAGUAUGGCACGUCCCUUUAAGACUAUCAAUUGUGAUGUAAACUAGGUUUGCAUGGUGUAGUCUGUUGGAUCAGACUUCAUGGCACUGAGCCAUGGCAUUGGCCGGUUCAGGAAUGAUGUCCAUGGCCUUAGCCGGGCUGUUCUUGAUCGAGAUAUAUAUGUUCUGGAUCGGUUCUUUGGAAUCUGAUUAUGGUUAUCUCUUAGUUAUGAAUUUUCAUGAGUUUUCAUGAAUCUUAAUCAGUUUUUAGGAAUUGAUUUGAUGAUGCCCACUUUGGGCCGGUUUGGAUGAUCUUGAACGAGAUCUCUAGGAUCAAGGCCGGUUCUGCAAAUUCUGAUUAUGGCAUUCUUUUAGUUGGGAAUUAUCAUAAAUUUACAUGAAAUUUAUUUUGUUUUUGGAUCACAUUUGAAAUCGGCGAGAUUUGGGUUUAGUGAGAAAUUGAUCGAUUAGUUAUGGAACCAGCCAUGCAAUGAUAGAUCCUUGUGUUAGGUUAUCAGAUUAUAUGCUUGUGUAUUGUGAAAUGUUUGUCACUUAUUAUUAUUGAUCAUAAGGAAUGUUAGUUAUCAACCUUGGGUUGGUAAGCUAUGUGCAAAGCAUUGGCUAAGAGCCAUAAAGACGAGUCUAGCUAGUACUUGGUGGCGUGGACCAUAAGUACUGAGCUUGGGUGUUAUUAUUCAAGGAAGGCCGUGUAUGAUGUGAUCAUGGGUAAGGAUGGACGACCUAAUCCAUAGAUGAUGGGUCAAGGUGUCGGAUCUGACUGAUCAAAGGAUGCACCAGUUGUAAGAGCAGUAGUGAUCGGCUUCGUUGGGACAUGGUUCUGCGUCAUGUGGGGUGGUUGGUUGAUUGACUUAGGAUCUGAUGGGCAUUGGUAGUACAUGAGAUGGACUUGCUUGCAUAAGCUGAUAAGCUAAAGGAUGUUGAAUGUAGAAUGAGCCGGGAAGGGCCCAAUGCAUGUCCUUAGCUGUUUGAAGACUUCUCAAGGGUUACUUUAGUCAGUGGGGAUGGUUGGCUGAAUGACUAAGUACCUAGGGGAGUUGUUUUAUUAGUAAAGAAGCUGGAUGCAGUAUAUGGCAACUGGCCAUAGCUUGGACUUAGCUCAGUUCGAGUGUGACAGCUCGAUCAGCUGAUUUACGAGUUCAUUCAGCUAGAGCAGCUGGGCCGAUGAGCUAACAAGCUCCGUGGAUAUGGCUAAGGUAUGAUCUAGUAACUCUUGCUUAGUUCUAGAUAGAAUGGACUAGGGGAAUGGAACCUCAGAUUCAUAUGACUUGAUUCGGGUAUAGGAUCAACCUUUGAGCUAGUUGGUAGUUGAGAGUACUAACCAUUAGCUGAGGUGAUUCGACCGGACGAGUAUUAGAUUGGUUAUAGACCAAUGGAUGAUGAUAUUUUUCCGCUGCAUAUGUGUUGUAUUGAUCUAAGCUAUGGAAUGACUAAGAUAGUCUUAAGCUAAGAUCUAAGUUAGCCCUCGCCUAUGGGCGAUAAUAUAGAUAAAGGGCGAAAAAUUUCGAGGUUCGGUCAGUGUAUGGACCGAGCGACAUGAGGAAUCGACCGCGGCCUAGUCGGCCGGGAUCGGGUCUUACAAGUCUGGUGCCAGCAGCCGCGGUAAUUCUAGCUCC
Molecule: long non-coding RNA, 3204 nt
Organism: Brassica rapa (field mustard)
Lineage: Eukaryota; Viridiplantae; Streptophyta; Magnoliopsida; Brassicales; Brassicaceae
Source: RefSeq, a predicted model, not a curated record